RNAcentral lists this ribosomal RNA (441 nucleotides) under uncultured bacterium. RNAcentral's name for it is "partial 16S ribosomal RNA". It matches the Rfam family "Bacterial small subunit ribosomal RNA", at positions 338 to 795 of the family's 1533-position model. The record is from RNAcentral.
CCUACGGGGGGCAGCAGUGGGGAAUAUUGCACAAUGGGGGAAACCCUGAUGCAGCGACGCCGCGUGAAUGAAGAAGUAUUUCGGUAUGUAAAGCUCUAUCAGCAGGGAAGAAGAAAGACGGUACCUGACUAAGAAGCCCCGGCUAACUACGUGCCAGCAGCCGCGGUAAUACGUAGGGGGCAAGCGUUAUCCGGAUUUACUGGGUGUAAAGGGAGCGUAGACGGCUGUGCAAGUCUGAAGUGAAAGCCCAGGGCUCAACCCUGGGACUGCUUUGGAAACUGUGGAGCUAGAGUGCUGGAGAGGUAAGUGGAAUUCCUAGUGUAGCGGUGAAAUGCGUAGAUAUUAGGAGGAACACCAGUGGCGAAGGCGGCUUACUGGACAGUAACUGACGUUGAGGCACGAAGGCCAGGGGAGCGAAAGGGAUUAGAUACCCCAGUAGUC